UAGUGUCUGUCUCCAGGUGUUUUCUACAGCCGUAGGUUCAGUAGUGUCUGUCUCCAGGUGUUUUCUACAGCCGUAGGUUCAGUAGUGUCUGUCUCCAGGUGUUUUCUACAGCCGUAGGUUCAGUAGUGUCUGUCUCCAGGUGUUUUCUACAGCCGUAGGUUCAGUAGUGUCUGUCUCCAGGUGUUUUCUACAGCCGUAGGUUCAGUAGUGUCUGUCUCCAGGUGUUUUCUACAGCCGUAGGUUCAGUAGUGUCUGUCUCCAGGUGUUUUCUACAGCCGUAGGUUCAGUAGUGUCUGUCUCCAGGUGUUUUCUACAGCCGUAGGUUCAGUAGUGUCUGUCUCCAGGUGUUUUCUACAGCCGUAGGUUCAGUAGUGUCUGUCUCCAGGUGUUUUCUACAGCCGUAGGUUCAGUAGUGUCUGUCUCCAGGUGUUUUCUACAGCCGUAGGUUCAGUAGUGUCUGUCUCUAGGUGUUUUCUACAGCCGUAGGUUCAGUAGUGUCUGUCUCCAGGUGUUUUCUACAGCCGUAGGUUCAGUAGUGUCUGUCUCCAGGUGUUUUCUACAGCCGUAGGUUCAGUAGUGUCUGUCUCCAGGUGUUUUCUACAGCCGUAGGUUCAGUAGUGUCUGUCUCCAGGUG
Molecule: long non-coding RNA, 634 nt
Organism: Oncorhynchus keta (chum salmon)
Lineage: Eukaryota; Metazoa; Chordata; Actinopteri; Salmoniformes; Salmonidae
Exons: 3
Source: RefSeq, a predicted model, not a curated record